Molecule: ribosomal RNA, 366 nt
Filed under: uncultured eukaryote
Lineage: Eukaryota
Description: partial 18S ribosomal RNA
Rfam family: Eukaryotic small subunit ribosomal RNA
Source: RNAcentral
CAAUAGCGUAUAUUAACGUUGUUGCAGUUAAAAAGCUCGUAGUUGGAUUUCUGGAGGGAGCGUCGGCCCGUAUUUACGAGUGCGUGACGUCUCUGUCCAUCCUUGCGGGAAGGCACGGCAUUGAUUUGUUGUGUCGGAUCGCAUCAUUUACUGUGAAAAAAUUAGAGUGUUCAAAGCAGGCUUUCGCUUGAAUACAUUAGCAUGGAAUAAUAAGAUAGGACUUUGGUACUAUUUUGUUGGUUGAGCCUAAAGUAAUGAUUAAUAGGGAUAGUUGGGGGCACCUGUAUUGCGUUGUCAGAGGUGAAAUUCUUGGAUUUACGCAAGACAAACAGCUGCGAAAGCGUCUGCCAAGGAUGUUUNCAUUAA